AGUGAACGCUGGCGGUAGGCCUAACACAUGCAAGUCGAACGGCAGCACAGGAGAGCUUGCUCUCUAGGUGGCGAGUGGCGGACGGGUGAGGAAUACAUCGGAAUCUGCCCAGUCGUGGGGGAUAACGUGGGGAAACUUACGCUAAUACCGCAUACGACCUUCGGGUGAAAGAGGGGGAUCGCAAGACCUCUCGCGAUUGGAUGAGCCGAUGUCGGAUUAGCUAGUUAGCGGGGUAAUGGCCCACCAAGGCGACGAUCCGUAGCUGGUCUGAGAGGAUGAUCAGCCACACUGGAACUGAGACACGGUCCAGACUCCUACGGGAGGCAGCAGUGGGGAAUAUUGGACAAUGGGCGCAAGCCUGAUCCAGCCAUACCGCGUGGGUGAAGAAGGCCUUCGGGUUGUAAAGCCCUUUUGUUGGGAAAGAAAUCUUUCAGGCUAAUACCCUGGGAGGAUGACGGUACCCAAAGAAUAAGCACCGGCUAACUUCGUG
This 490-nucleotide ribosomal RNA is filed under the name uncultured bacterium. RNAcentral's name for it is "partial 16S ribosomal RNA". It matches the Rfam family "Bacterial small subunit ribosomal RNA", at positions 29 to 507 of the family's 1533-position model. The record is from RNAcentral.